CAAAAUAAAAUAAAUCAAAAUUAAUAAUUCCAUAGUAUUUUUGUGGACAAGUCGUGAUCAAGUCUCUUACCAAGUAUUUGGUCAUUAACUAUGAAUAGCUUGAAUUCCCUAUUAAGGAAGAGGUAUGGCAAAUCUUGUCUAGAUAUCUGAUGUCUAAUUAUAGUUUGUUUGAGAAUUGAUACAACAUAUCACAACCACUGAUAUUGUGUUAGACAUGUUACAUUAGCUGUCCAUGUAUGUCUUUUUGGUUGUUUUAUUUGUAAAAUUCUCAUACAAUUCUUGACUUGAAGAUAAACCUAUCCUGGCAGUUAUUUAUUUGUUGUGAAUUGGGCUAGUCAAAUGAGUCUUCC
This 350-nucleotide long non-coding RNA is filed under the name Elaeis guineensis (African oil palm). Its description in RNAcentral is "long non-coding RNA (EGUI_LNC007519)". Lineage: Eukaryota; Viridiplantae; Streptophyta; Magnoliopsida; Arecales; Arecaceae. The record is from RNAcentral.